UGGGGAAUUUUGGACGAUGGGCGAAAGCCUGAUCCAGCAAUGCCGCGUGUGUGAAGAAGGCCUUCGGGUUGUAAAGCACUUUUGUCCGGAAAGAAAUCCUCUGGGUUAAUACCUCGGGGGGAUGACGGUACCGGAAGAAUAAGCACCGGCUAACUACGUGCCAGCAGCCGCGGUAAUACGUAGGGUGCAAGCGUUAAUCGGAAUUACUGGGCGUAAAGCGUGCGCAGGCGGUUUUGUAAGACGGAUGUGAAAUCCCCGGGCUUAACCUGGGAACUGCAUUCGUGACUGCAAGGCUAGAGUGCAGCAGAGGGGAGUGGAAUUCCAUGUGUAGCAGUGAAAUGCGUAGAGAUGUGGAAGAACACCGAUGGCGAAGGCAGCUCCCCGGGUUGACACUGACGCUCAUGCACGAAAGCGUGGGGAGCAAACA
This 427-nucleotide ribosomal RNA is filed under the name uncultured bacterium. Its description in RNAcentral is "bacterial SSU rRNA". It matches the Rfam family "Bacterial small subunit ribosomal RNA", at positions 355 to 774 of the family's 1533-position model. The record is from RNAcentral.